Molecule: signal recognition particle RNA, 303 nt
Filed under: Erinaceus europaeus (western European hedgehog)
Lineage: Eukaryota; Metazoa; Chordata; Mammalia; Eulipotyphla; Erinaceidae
Description: Metazoan signal recognition particle RNA
Rfam family: Metazoan signal recognition particle RNA
About the family: The signal recognition particle (SRP) is a universally conserved ribonucleoprotein. It is involved in the co-translational targeting of proteins to membranes.
Source: Rfam by way of RNAcentral
GCCGGGCGUGGUGGCGCGCACCUGUAGUCCCAGCUACUUGGGAGGCUGAGGCUGGAGGAUCGCUUGAGCCCAGAAGCUCAGGGCUGCAGUGCGCUAUGCCGAUCGGUGUCCGCACUAAGUUCGCCAUCAAUAUGGUGACCUCCUGGGAGCGGGGGGGGACCACCAGGUUGCCUAAGGAGGGGUGAGCCCGCCCAGGUCGGAACAACAAAAAAAAGUCCACUGGGAGUCGUGCAGCGGAUUAAGCGCAGGUGGCACAAAGCACAAGGCCCCGCAUGAGAAUCCCGGUUCGAGCCCCCGGCUCCC